This 539-nucleotide ribosomal RNA is filed under the name uncultured bacterium. Its description in RNAcentral is "bacterial SSU rRNA". It matches the Rfam family "Bacterial small subunit ribosomal RNA", at positions 28 to 526 of the family's 1533-position model. The record is from RNAcentral.
GAUGAACGCUGGCGGCGUGCCUAAUACAUGCAAGUCGAACGAGUUCUGGUUUAUGAUGGCGGUGCUUGCACCAAUAGAUUAAACAUUUGAACGAGUGGCGGACGGGUGAGUAACACGUGGGUAACCUGCCCUAAAGUGGGGGAUAACAUUUGGAAACAGAUGCUAAUACCGCAUAAACCUCAAAAGCACAUGCUUUUGAGUUGAAAGAUGGCGUAAGCUAUCGCUUUUGGAUGGACCCGCGGCGUAUUAGCUAGUUGGUGAGGUAAUGGCUCACCAAGGCAAUGAUACGUAGCCGACCUGAGAGGGUAAUCGGCCACAUUGGGACUGAGACACGGCCCAAACUCCUACGGGAGGCAGCAGUAGGGAAUCUUCCACAAUGGACGAAAGUCUGAUGGAGCAACGCCGCGUGAGUGAAGAAGGGUUUCGGCUCGUAAAACUCUGUUGUUAAAGAAGAACAGGUGUAAGAGUAACUGUUUACACCGUGACGGUAUUUAACCAGAAAGCCACGGCUAACUACGUGCCAGCCGCCGCGGUAAAAC